AUGGUAAUCAAACAUAUGAUGCAUGGCCCUUGUGGUGCAUUGAAUAAAUUAUGUCCAUGCACAAAGAAUCGUCCGUCAUGCAAGAACAAUUAUCCAAGGCCAUUUACCCAAACUACGAUUCAAGGCAAGGACUCCUACCCAAUAUAUAGGAGACGCAAUGAUGGUCGGACUGAAACGGUCCGAUAUUGCAAACUGGAUAACAGGUGGGUGGUUCCUUAUAACCCCUAUCUAUUAAGGAUGUUCAACUGCCACAUAAAUGUUGAGAUAUGCUCAAGCAUUAAAGCCGUUAAGUACCUGUUCAAGUACAUCUACAAGGGUCAUGAUCGAGCAUCUAUAUCUGUAAUUGACAAAGCAAAAGAAGCCGAAAUCGACGAGAUCCAACAAUACCGAGACGCACCUGCAUCUCCCAAAUAUGCACAUGGUUUCAUAUCAUGGCAAAGAGAAAAUAAAGAAUGUUAUCAACCGUGA
Molecule: ribosomal RNA, 468 nt
Filed under: Triticum aestivum (bread wheat)
Lineage: Eukaryota; Viridiplantae; Streptophyta; Magnoliopsida; Poales; Poaceae
Description: partial small subunit ribosomal RNA
Source: RNAcentral